GACGAACGCUGGCGGCGUGCUUAACACAUGCAAGUCGAACGGAAGGGCCCUGCUUUUGUGGGGUGCUCGAGUGGCGAACGGGUGAGUAACACGUGAGUAACCUGCCCUUGACUUUGGGAUAACUUCAGGAAACUGGGGCUAAUACCGGAUAGGAGCUCCUGCUGCAUGGUGGGGGUUGGAAAGUUUCGGCGGUUGGGGAUGGACUCGCGGCUUAUCAGCUUGUUGGUGGGGUAGUGGCUUACCAAGGCUUUGACGGGUAGCCGGCCUGAGAGGGUGACCGGCCACAUUGGGACUGAGAUACGGCCCAGACUCCUACGGGAGGCAGCAGUGGGGAAUAUUGCACAAUGGGCGGAAGCCUGAUGCAGCAACGCCGCGUGCGGGAUGACGGCCUUCGGGUUGUAAACCGCUUUCGCCUGUGACGAAGCGUGAGUGACGGUAAUGGAUAAAGAAGCACCGGCUAACUACGUG
RNAcentral lists this ribosomal RNA (468 nucleotides) under uncultured bacterium. RNAcentral's name for it is "partial 16S ribosomal RNA". It matches the Rfam family "Bacterial small subunit ribosomal RNA", at positions 28 to 507 of the family's 1533-position model. The record is from RNAcentral.